RNAcentral lists this non-coding RNA (85 nucleotides) under uncultured Anaerobutyricum sp. RNAcentral describes it as "Glycine riboswitch". It matches the Rfam family "Glycine riboswitch aptamer", at positions 8 to 87 of the family's 94-position model. From Rfam's summary of the family: This family represents the bacterial glycine riboswitch. Glycine riboswitches usually consist of two metabolite-binding aptamers domains with similar structures in tandem. Lineage: Bacteria; Bacillati; Bacillota; Clostridia; Lachnospirales; Lachnospiraceae. The record is from RNAcentral.
ACGGGUCUCCGGAGAAGUCCGCACCUGAUGCGGAGGCCGAAGGGGCAAGAAGAUUUCGAAACUCUCAGGCAAAAGGACGGAGAAU